GAUGAACGCUGGCGGCGUGCCUAAUACAUGCGAGUAGAACGCUGAAGGAGGAGCUUGCUCUUCUGGAUGAGUUGCGAACGGGUGAGUAACGCGUAGGUAACCUGCCUGGUAGCGGGGGAUAACUAUUGGAAACGAUAGCUAAUACCGCAUGACAACAGUUAUUGCAUGAUAACCGUUUAAAAGGGGCAACUGCUCCACUACCAGAUGGACCUGCGUUGUAUUAGCUAGUUGGUGAGGUAACGGCUCACCAAGGCGGCGGUACAUAGCCGACCUGAGAGGGGGGACGGCCCAACUGGGAAUGGGGACAGGCCCCAACUCCUACGGGGGGCAGCCGGAGGGGAUUUUCGGCCAUGGACGGAAGUCUGACCGAGCAACGCCGGGUGAGUGAAGGAGGUUUUCGGAUCGUAAAACUCUGUUGUAAGAGAAGAACGAGUGUGAGAGUGGAAAGUUCACGCUGUGACGGUAUCUUACCAGAAAGGGACGGCUAACUACGUG
This 495-nucleotide ribosomal RNA is filed under the name uncultured bacterium. RNAcentral describes it as "partial 16S ribosomal RNA". It matches the Rfam family "Bacterial small subunit ribosomal RNA", at positions 28 to 507 of the family's 1533-position model. The record is from RNAcentral.